CUAGUCUUAUCGGUGGAUCACUCGGUUCGUAGAUCGAUGAAGAACGCAGCCAUAUGCGUUACGUAGUGCAAACUGCAGAUACUUUGAGCACUAAGAUUUUGAAUGCACAUUGCGCCAUUGGAUUUUAUCCUUUGGCACAUCUGGUUCAGGGUUGUUU
RNAcentral lists this ribosomal RNA (157 nucleotides) under Ditylenchus phyllobius. RNAcentral's name for it is "5.8S ribosomal RNA". It matches the Rfam family "5.8S ribosomal RNA". From Rfam's summary of the family: 5.8S ribosomal RNA (5.8S rRNA) is a component of the large subunit of the eukaryotic ribosome. It is transcribed by RNA polymerase I as part of the 45S precursor that also contains 18S and 28S rRNA. The record is from RNAcentral. Lineage: Eukaryota; Metazoa; Nematoda; Chromadorea; Rhabditida; Anguinidae.